CGGACAGAACGACCCGGUCACUCGGGUUAGAGGCUGACGGCGACGCCGCCGGUGCGGGCGCCCGGCCGUGGGGGCACGAGGCCCCGGCACCCCGACUGCCGGCUCCGGGGUCGCCCCUCGUCCGGGGCCGGGGGGGGGGGGGCGGGGGGACCCCUGGGCGCUCAGCCGCCGCGGAUCCCCUCGGCCUCCCCGCGGGGCCGCGGGACCGGCGCUGCGCGAGGGUUCGGGCCGGCACCGGCCCCGGCCCCGCCGCCCCCGGGAAUCCGGAAGGAAAACGGCCGCCGCCGCCGCUCGGGGGCUUAGGGGUCGGGCCCAGCCACCGAGAACUCCCGCGGGAGCGAGAAACGGCAGCAGGAAAGCGUGGGCUUCCGGAAGAGAGACACUAACGGGAUCUAAGUUCGGGCGACAGGAAGGGGCCUCGGGGUGACGCUGGAGGUGAGACCACGGUUGGGUCGGCGUGAGCUGGAGGAACACAGGUCCAGCUGACUCCCUGGUCCUGGAGCCCAGUUUCUCCCUGAGGUCAGCUGCUCAGAAGAGUCACCUGUAAUCCAUCCAUCAUGUCUUCAGCUCCCAUCCUCUCUUCAAAUGGUCCAAUCCAGUUUCCAUCUUGUACAAUUGACUGACUGUGCACGUUACAUCCACCAAACCCAGUGCUCACUUCUCUGCAUGUUCUUGCUUCCCAAACUGCUAGUGAUUCUCACCACAUCUGACCACUCCCUCCUCUGGGAAAAUUGGCUUCCCUUCACCUCCAUGCAUCACACUCUCUUGGUUUUCCUCAACACUGCUGGCACCCCUUCUCAGUACCCUUGGCUGCCUCACUAGCCCUUGGUCCUCUGGGCUCAGCCCUUUCCAUCUUCCUGUCUGCCACACACACUUGCUCACUCACUGUGUGGCCUCCUCCACUUUCCUGGACUUUAACGCAGCAUAUGUGUCAAUGACACCAACAUGCGUACCCCCAGCCCUGGCUGGAGCUCUCGGCUCCUGUACUCAACUGACCUCUUGAUAGGGCCACAUGAAUGUCAAAAAAUCCUUUCAAACUUAAACAAAAUAUUUAUUCCUAACCACCCAGUUCAAAUUAUUUUCUUACAGUAUUCCUUAUCCCAAUAAACUGUACCACUAAAUUUAUUCAAAUUAUUUAAGACAAACUUUUUAGGGAUAAGCUUGAUUUUCUACUCCUCCCCCUUUUGAUCCAUUAAAAAGUCAUAAAAAUAUCUACCCCAAAUCUGCUCACCUUGUCUUUAUGACUGUCCUUGUCACUACCACAUGAAAUGGAGCCCCAAGCAUGUCUUCCCUGGAGAACUCAUCCAUGCUCCUAAUGGCCUUGCUGACUCCACUCAUGAACCCCUAGAGUCCAGUCUAUACAUGGUAGCUGGUGUUAUUGUUUUUCAAAUAAAUAUAACUGCACUCUCCUUAUUCACAUGUCUCUUCAAAUAAAAUUCAAAUUUCUUACCACA
This is a long non-coding RNA of Phyllostomus hastatus (greater spear-nosed bat), 1454 nucleotides long. RefSeq lists it as uncharacterized. The record is from RefSeq and is a predicted model, not a curated record. The transcript is spliced from 2 exons. Lineage: Eukaryota; Metazoa; Chordata; Mammalia; Chiroptera; Phyllostomidae.